RNAcentral lists this ribosomal RNA (237 nucleotides) under uncultured Staphylococcus sp. Its description in RNAcentral is "partial 16S ribosomal RNA". It matches the Rfam family "Bacterial small subunit ribosomal RNA", at positions 103 to 334 of the family's 1533-position model. Lineage: Bacteria; Bacillati; Bacillota; Bacilli; Caryophanales; Staphylococcaceae. The record is from RNAcentral.
CGGGUGAGUAACACGUGGAUAACCUACCUAUAAGACUGGGAUAACUUCGGGAAACCGGAGCUAAUACCGGAUAAUAUUUUGAACCGCAUGGUUCAAAAGUGAAAGAAGGUCUUGCUGUCACUUAUAGAUGGAUCCGCGCUGCAUUAGCUAGUUGGUAAGGUAACGGCUUACCAAGGCAACGAUGCAUAGCCGACCUGAGAGGGUGAUCGGCCACACUGGAACUGAGACACGGUCCAG